GUUGACCUCGGAUCAGGUAGGAAUAGCCGCUGAACUUAAGCAUAUCAAUAAAAAGGAGGAA
This 61-nucleotide ribosomal RNA is filed under the name Trichoderma harzianum. RNAcentral describes it as "partial 28S ribosomal RNA". Lineage: Eukaryota; Fungi; Ascomycota; Sordariomycetes; Hypocreales; Hypocreaceae. The record is from RNAcentral.